CUAUAAGAUUCUAUGUAAAAGUAAACAUGGAUCCUCAUUCUCAAGAAAUAUUCAAGAAGCUUAUACAAGCUAGACUUGUUCCUAUCUCUAGAUAAUUAAAUGAUUGAGAUUAAGAUAUACAUUGGAGGUGAUAUGACAUAUCAUCAAUUGACAUCAAAUGUAUGCAGGGUGAGAUGUUAGAAUGCAUAUUCUAGUUGCAUUUCAUUAGCAUACUGGUUCAUUCUAUAUUUAUCAUAGACUUCCAAACCAUCGCAUAACUCAAUCCUAUA
RNAcentral lists this long non-coding RNA (269 nucleotides) under Phoenix dactylifera (date palm). RNAcentral's name for it is "long non-coding RNA (PDAC_LNC014437)". Lineage: Eukaryota; Viridiplantae; Streptophyta; Magnoliopsida; Arecales; Arecaceae. The record is from RNAcentral.